UCGGCACGCGUGAAGGAAGAAGACCCUCGGGUUGUAAACUUCUUUUGAUCGGGAACAAGCCGCAAGGCUGAGUGUACCGAUAGAAUAAGGGGCUGCUAACUUCGUGCCAGCAGCAGCGGUAAUACGAAGGCCCCGAGCGUUAUCCGGAUUUAUUGGGCGUAAAGCGUUGGUAGGAGGUCAUGUUAGUUCAGCGUCAAAGCUUCCCGCUUAACGGGAAAAACGCGCUGAAUACGGCUGACUGGAGGAAAUCAGAGGCAAAUGGAACGGCCGGUGUAGGGGUGAAAUCCGUUGAUAUCGGCCGGAACACCAAAGGCGAAGGCAUUUUGCUGGGAUUUUUCUGACUCUGAGCAACGAAAGCGUGGGUCGCGAAUGGGAUUAGAUACCCCAGUAGUCCACGCCCUAAACGAUGAGUGCUCGCUGUGUGAAGUAUCGAGCCUUCACGUGGCUUAGCUAACGCGUUAAGCACUCCGCCUGGGAAGUACGAGCGCAAGCUUAAAACUCAAAGGAAUAGACGGGGACUCGCACAAGCGGUGGAGCAUGUGGUUCAAUUCGACAAUAAACGAAAAACCUUACCAGGG
This 578-nucleotide ribosomal RNA is filed under the name uncultured bacterium. RNAcentral describes it as "bacterial SSU rRNA". It matches the Rfam family "Bacterial small subunit ribosomal RNA", at positions 392 to 979 of the family's 1533-position model. The record is from RNAcentral.